AGUGAACGCUGGCGGUAGGCCUAACACAUGCAAGUCGAACGGCAGCACAGUAAGAGCUUGCUCUUAUGGGUGGCGAGUGGCGGACGGGUGAGGAAUACAUCGGAACCUACUUUUUCGUGGGGGAUAACGUAGGGAAACUUACGCUAAUACCGCAUACGAUCCACGGGUGUAAGCAUGGGAUCUUCGGACCUUGCGCGAUUGAAUGCGCCGAUGUCGGAUUAGCUAGUUGGCGGGGUAAAGGCCCACGAAGGCGACGAUCCGUAGCUGGUCUGAGAGGAUGAUCGGCCACACUAGAACUGAGACAGGGACCAGGCUCCUGCGAGACGCAGCAGUCGGGAAUGUUAGGCAGUGGGCGCAAACCUGAUCCAGCCAUACCGCGUGGGUGAAGGAAGCCUUCCGGUUGUGAAGCCCUUUUGUUGGGAAAGAAAAGCAGCAGGUUAAUACCCAGCUGUUCUGACGGUACCCAAUAAAUAAGCACCGGCUAACUUCGUG
RNAcentral lists this ribosomal RNA (492 nucleotides) under uncultured bacterium. Its description in RNAcentral is "partial 16S ribosomal RNA". It matches the Rfam family "Bacterial small subunit ribosomal RNA", at positions 29 to 507 of the family's 1533-position model. The record is from RNAcentral.